AAUCAACGCUGGCGGCGUGCCUCAGACAUGCGAGUCGAACGCGAAACCUUCCUUCGGGAGGGGAGUAGAGUGGCGCACGGGUGAGUAACACGUAGGUAAUCUACCUUUGGGUGGGGAAUAACAGCCGGAAACGGCUGCUAAUACCGCAUAAUGCAGCGGCUCGACAUCGAGACAGUUGUUAAAGCGGGGGAUCGUAAGACCUCGCGCCUAAAGAGGAGCCUGCGGCAGAUAGCUAGUUGGUAAGGUAACGGCUUACCAAGGCGACGAUCUGUAGCCGGCCUGAGAGGGCGGUCGGCCACACUGACACUGACAUACGGGUCAGACUCCUACGGGAGGCAGCAGUCGGGAAUUUUGGGCAAUGGGCGAAAGCCUGACCCAGCAACGCCGCGUGAAGGAUGAAAUCCCUCGGGAUGUAAACUUCGCAAGAACGGGAAGAAUAAGUAGAAGCGAAUACCUUCUAUGAU
Molecule: ribosomal RNA, 464 nt
Filed under: uncultured bacterium
Lineage: Bacteria
Description: bacterial SSU rRNA
Rfam family: Bacterial small subunit ribosomal RNA
Source: RNAcentral